CAGCCGCCGCGGUAAUACGUAGGGUGCAAGCGUUAAUCGGAAUUACUGGGCGUAAAGCGUGCGCAGGCGGUUAUAUAAGACAGAUGUGAAAUCCCCGGGCUCAACCUGGGAACUGCAUUUGUGACUGUAUAGCUAGAGUACGGCAGAGGGGGAUGGAAUUCCGCGUGUAGCAGUGAAAUGCGUAGAUAUGCGGAGGAACACCGAUGGCGAAGGCAAUCCCCUGGGCCUGUACUGACGCUCAUGCACGAAAGAGUGGGGAGCAAACAGGAUUAGAUACCCCAGUAGUCCCUGUCUCUUAUAC
This 301-nucleotide ribosomal RNA is filed under the name uncultured bacterium. Its description in RNAcentral is "partial 16S ribosomal RNA". It matches the Rfam family "Bacterial small subunit ribosomal RNA", at positions 509 to 807 of the family's 1533-position model. The record is from RNAcentral.